Molecule: long non-coding RNA, 919 nt
Organism: Cicer arietinum (chickpea)
Lineage: Eukaryota; Viridiplantae; Streptophyta; Magnoliopsida; Fabales; Fabaceae
Source: RefSeq, a predicted model, not a curated record
AAAAAGAGGCUUAAGACUGAAAUCGGAAAAAAGACUAAAAUCGGAAAAAAUAGAAUCUUCUGUGUUGAAUUCAAUUAUUCUGGCGGAACCAUAAUAAGAAAAACAGGUUGGUAUCUGGCUUAAGCAUUGCUGGAAGGAUAGGUGAUGCCAGUGUUGUUAUGUCACAAUUGAAACGGGCUGGGUUCAGUCUUGAUACAUAUGAGGCAGUUAUACAUUCAUUCAUAUUGUAAUUUGAGCUAUAAGUUAAAUGCUUAAUCGUAUAAAUAGUAAUUUUUUUCUCUUUAUAUAAUAUAUUCAAGAUUAGAUUACACGAUGCAAAUACAUUUUUUAAUACCAUAAAUAAUACAAAUGACAUCAAUUUAUGCAAUAGAUUUUGAGUGUAGUUUACAAAUCCUUAAAAGAACUGAUUUUUUACUAUAUAAAUUAUUUUAUUGUAAUUGUUUAUUCACGGCUAUUAUGGUAAAAAAUGUGUUGACAUUCCUCAAUUAGGAUAAGAAAGAAUCUUAGAAAACAUGUUGGGGACAUUGAUGCUGGAGCAGUCUCACGUGGUUUUGGACGUGCAAUUGGCAACAAGGAAUAAACAGAUCUUCAAAGAAAGAAGAAAUCAACCAAGAAAUUAUGCCCCGGCUUCUUAAUGUGCCAAAAGAUGUGUUCCUAUCUGCAAAAUUUCAGACGAUGAUUUUUGAGGUAUUUGUAUUGUGCUAAUGCUAACAUAAUUUUCUGCUGCAAUUUCCCCUGUUUUUGGAGACCUGGUUGUAAACGAAGUAGCUGUUUCCUAGUAAAAGUGGAUAACUCAAUUUCCAAACCAUUUUUCUACAAGAUGUUGAAUAUAUUGUAUUAUUUCCUGCAUCAGAGCAUAGCUGGGUUUCUGAUGUGAAGGAAGAAUGUCAAGAUCUGUAUCAGAGAAUGAGAAAUAGUG